RNAcentral lists this long non-coding RNA (191 nucleotides) under dengue virus type 1. RNAcentral's name for it is "dengue virus type I partial sfRNA1". Lineage: Riboviria; Orthornavirae; Kitrinoviricota; Flasuviricetes; Amarillovirales; Flaviviridae. The record is from RNAcentral.
AAGAAGUCAGGCCGGAUUAAGCCAUAGUACGGUAAGAGCUAUGCUGCCUGUGAGCCCCGUCCAAGGACGUAAAAUGAAGUCAGGCCGAAAGCCACGGCUUGAGCAAACCGUGCUGCCUGUAGCUCCAUCGUGGGGAUGUAAAAACCUGGGAGGCUGCAACCCAUGGAAGCUGUACGCAUGGGGUAGCAGAC